UGGUUUCAGGGAGAGAAUCGU
Molecule: non-coding RNA, 21 nt
Filed under: Arabidopsis thaliana (thale cress)
Lineage: Eukaryota; Viridiplantae; Streptophyta; Magnoliopsida; Brassicales; Brassicaceae
Source: RNAcentral